This 269-nucleotide ribosomal RNA is filed under the name uncultured prokaryote. RNAcentral describes it as "partial 16S ribosomal RNA". It matches the Rfam family "Archaeal small subunit ribosomal RNA", at positions 474 to 743 of the family's 1478-position model. The record is from RNAcentral.
UACCUGCAGCUCGAGUGGUGGCCGCUAUUAUUGGGCCUAAAACGUCCGUAGCCGGUCUUAUAAAUGCCUGGGUAAAUCGUGCCGCUUAACGGUACGAAUUCCGGGUAGACUGUAAGACUUGGGACCGGGAGAGGCUAGAGGUACUCCUGGGGUAGAGGUGAAAUUCUGUAAUCCUGGGGGGACCACCAGUGGCGAAGGCGUCUAGCUAGAACGGGUCUGACGGUGAGGGACGAAGCCCUGGGGCGCAAACCGGAUUAGAUACCCGCGUA